Molecule: transfer RNA, 88 nt
Filed under: Nitrosomonas europaea
Lineage: Bacteria; Pseudomonadati; Pseudomonadota; Betaproteobacteria; Nitrosomonadales; Nitrosomonadaceae
Description: tRNA-Ser
Source: RNAcentral
CAGGAACAUGGGGCGGUAACCGGCCGUGCUUUUACUGAAGGCGCGGCUGAAUUGCUUGGCUGCAUUGUGAUCGUGUCCGAAUUCCUGC